This 2906-nucleotide ribosomal RNA is filed under the name Salmonella enterica subsp. enterica serovar Heidelberg. RNAcentral describes it as "23S ribosomal RNA". It matches the Rfam family "Bacterial large subunit ribosomal RNA". Lineage: Bacteria; Pseudomonadati; Pseudomonadota; Gammaproteobacteria; Enterobacterales; Enterobacteriaceae. The record is from RNAcentral.
GGUUAAGCGACUAAGCGUACACGGUGGAUGCCCUGGCAGUCAGAGGCGAUGAAGGGCGUGCUAAUCUGCGAUAAGCGCCGGUAAGGUGAUAUGAACCGUUAUAACCGGCGAUACCCGAAUGGGGAAACCCAGUGUGACUCGUCACACUAUCAUUAACUGAAUCCAUAGGUUAAUGAGGCGAACCGGGGGAACUGAAACAUCUAAGUACCCCGAGGAAAAGAAAUCAACCGAGAUUCCCCCAGUAGCGGCGAGCGAACGGGGAGGAGCCCAGAGCCUGAAUCAGCAUGUGUGUUAGUGGAAGCGUCUGGAAAGGCGCGCGAUACAGGGUGACAGCCCCGUACACAAAAGCGCAUGUGCUGUGAGCUCGAUGAGUAGGGCGGGACACGUGGUAUCCUGUCUGAAUAUGGGGGGACCAUCCUCCAAGGCUAAAUACUCCUGACUGACCGAUAGUGAACCAGUACCGUGAGGGAAAGGCGAAAAGAACCCCGGCGAGGGGAGUGAAAAAGAACCUGAAACCGUGUACGUACAAGCAGUGGGAGCACCCUUUGGGGUGUGACUGCGUACCUUUUGUAUAAUGGGUCAGCGACUUAUAUUCUGUAGCAAGGUUAACCGUAUAGGGGAGCCGUAGGGAAACCGAGUCUUAACCGGGCGUUAAGUUGCAGGGUAUAGACCCGAAACCCGGUGAUCUAGCCAUGGGCAGGUUGAAGGUUGGGUAACACUAACUGGAGGACCGAACCGACUAAUGUUGAAAAAUUAGCGGAUGACCUGUGGCUGGGGGUGAAAGGCCAAUCAAACCGGGAGAUAGCUGGUUCUCCCCGAAAGCUAUUUAGGUAGCGCCUCGUGAAUUCAUCUCCGGGGGUAGAGCACUGUUUCGGCUAGGGGGCCAUCCCGGCUUACCAACCCGAUGCAAACUGCGAAUACCGGAGAAUGUUAUCACGGGAGACACACGGCGGGUGCUAACGUCCGUCGUGAAGAGGGAAACAACCCAGACCGCCAGCUAAGGUCCCAAAGUCAUGGUUAAGUGGGAAACGAUGUGGGAAGGCCCAGACAGCCAGGAUGUUGGCUUAGAAGCAGCCAUCAUUUAAAGAAAGCGUAAUAGCUCACUGGUCGAGUCGGCCUGCGCGGAAGAUGUAACGGGGCUAAACCAUGCACCGAAGCUGCGGCAGCGACGCUUAUGCGUUGUUGGGUAGGGGAGCGUUCUGUAAGCCUGCGAAGGUGGCCUGUGAGGGUUGCUGGAGGUAUCAGAAGUGCGAAUGCUGACAUAAGUAACGAUAAAGCGGGUGAAAAGCCCGCUCGCCGGAAGACCAAGGGUUCCUGUCCAACGUUAAUCGGGGCAGGGUGAGUCGACCCCUAAGGCGAGGCCGAAAGGCGUAGUCGAUGGGAAACGGGUUAAUAUUCCCGUACUUGGUGUUACUGCGAAGGGGGGACGGAGAAGGCUAUGUUGGCCGGGCGACGGUUGUCCCGGUUUAAGCGUGUAGGUGUGUGUUCCAGGUAAAUCCGGUUCACUUUAACACUGAGGCGUGACGACGAGGCACUACGGUGCUGAAGCAACAAAUGCCCUGCUUCCAGGAAAAGCCUCUAAGCAUCAGGUAACAUCAAAUCGUACCCCAAACCGACACAGGUGGUCAGGUAGAGAAUACCAAGGCGCUUGAGAGAACUCGGGUGAAGGAACUAGGCAAAAUGGUGCCGUAACUUCGGGAGAAGGCACGCUGACACGUAGGUGAAGUGAUUUACUCACGGAGCUGAAGUCAGUCGAAGAUACCAGCUGGCUGCAACUGUUUAUUAAAAACACAGCACUGUGCAAACACGAAAGUGGACGUAUACGGUGUGACGCCUGCCCGGUGCCGGAAGGUUAAUUGAUGGGGUCAGCGCAAGCGAAGCUCCUGAUCGAAGCCCCGGUAAACGGCGGCCGUAACUAUAACGGUCCUAAGGUAGCGAAAUUCCUUGUCGGGUAAGUUCCGACCUGCACGAAUGGCGUAAUGAUGGCCAGGCUGUCUCCACCCGAGACUCAGUGAAAUUGAACUCGCUGUGAAGAUGCAGUGUACCCGCGGCAAGACGGAAAGACCCCGUGAACCUUUACUAUAGCUUGACACUGAACAUUGAGCCUUGAUGUGUAGGAUAGGUGGGAGGCUUUGAAGUGUGGACGCCAGUCUGCAUGGAGCCGACCUUGAAAUACCACCCUUUAAUGUUUGAUGUUCUAACGUGGACCCGUUACCCGGGUUGCGGACAGUGUCUGGUGGGUAGUUUGACUGGGGCGGUCUCCUCCUAAAGAGUAACGGAGGAGCACGAAGGUUGGCUAAUCCUGGUCGGACAUCAGGAGGUUAGUGCAAUGGCAUAAGCCAGCUUGACUGCGAGCGUGACGGCGCGAGCAGGUGCGAAAGCAGGUCAUAGUGAUCCGGUGGUUCUGAAUGGAAGGGCCAUCGCUCAACGGAUAAAAGGUACUCCGGGGAUAACAGGCUGAUACCGCCCAAGAGUUCAUAUCGACGGCGGUGUUUGGCACCUCGAUGUCGGCUCAUCACAUCCUGGGGCUGAAGUAGGUCCCAAGGGUAUGGCUGUUCGCCAUUUAAAGUGGUACGCGAGCUGGGUUUAGAACGUCGUGAGACAGUUCGGUCCCUAUCUGCCGUGGGCGCUGGAGAACUGAGGGGGGCUGCUCCUAGUACGAGAGGACCGGAGUGGACGCAUCACUGGUGUUCGGGUUGUCAUGCCAAUGGCACUGCCCGGUAGCUAAAUGCGGAAGAGAUAAGUGCUGAAAGCAUCUAAGCACGAAACUUGCCCCGAGAUGAGUUCUCCCUGAGACUUAGAGUCUCCUGAAGGAACGUUGAAGACGACGACGUUGAUAGGCCGGGUGUGUAAGCGCAGCGAUGCGUUGAGCUAACCGGUACUAAUGAACCGUGAGGCUUAACCUU